CCUACGGGAGGCAGCAGUGGGGAAUAUUGCACAAUGGGGGAAACCCUGAUGCAGCGACGCCGCGUGAGUGAAGAAGUAUUUCGGUACGUAAAGCUCUAUCAGCAGGGAAGUAAAUGACGGUACCUGACUGAGAAGCCCCGGCUAACUACGUUACAGCAGCCGCGGUAAUACGUAGGGGGCAAGCGUUAUCCGGAUUUACUGGGUGUAAAGGGAGCGUAGACGGAAUCGCAAGUCUGAAGUGAAAGCCCAUGGCUUAACCAUGGAACUGCGUUGGAAACUGUGAAGCUGGAGUGCAGGAGAGGUGAGCGGAAUUCGUGGUGUAGCGGUGAAAUGCGUAGAUAUUAGGAGGAACACCAGUGGCGAAGGCAGCUUACUGGACUGUAACUGACGUUGAGGCUCGAAAGCGUGGGGAGCAAACAGGAUUAGAUACCCGGGUAGUC
RNAcentral lists this ribosomal RNA (440 nucleotides) under uncultured bacterium. Its description in RNAcentral is "partial 16S ribosomal RNA". It matches the Rfam family "Bacterial small subunit ribosomal RNA", at positions 338 to 795 of the family's 1533-position model. The record is from RNAcentral.